RNAcentral lists this ribosomal RNA (496 nucleotides) under uncultured bacterium. RNAcentral's name for it is "partial 16S ribosomal RNA". It matches the Rfam family "Bacterial small subunit ribosomal RNA", at positions 29 to 507 of the family's 1533-position model. The record is from RNAcentral.
AUGCACGCUGGCGGCGUGCCUAAUACAUGCCAGUCGAGCGAACAGACGAGGAGCUUGCUCCUCUGACGUUAGCGGCGGACGGGUGAGUAACACGUGGAUAACCUACCUAUAAGACUGGGAUAACUUCGGGAAACCGGAGCUAAUACCGGAUAAUAUAUUGAACCGCAUGGUUCAAUAGUGAAAGACGGUUUUGCUGUCACUUAUAGAUGGAUCCGCGCCGUAUUAGCUAGUUGGUAAGGUAACGGCUUACCAAGGCGACGAUGCGUAGCCGACCUGAGAGGGUGAUCGGCCACACUGGAACUGAGACACGGUCCAGACUCCUACGGGAGGCAGCAGUAGGGAAUCUUCCGCAAUGGGCGAAAGCCUGACGGAGCAACGCCGCGUGAGUGAUGAAGGUCUUCGGAUCGUAAAACUCUGUUAUUAGGGAAGAACAAAUGUGUAAGUAACUAUGCACGUCUUGACGGUACCUAAUCAGAAAGCCACGGCUAACUACGUG